UCACUUUUAAACCUUUUCUUUAAUUAAAUAUUAAUCAUCAACAUUUGAAUGACCUCUUUACCCCUCAAUCAGCUUCCUUCACUGUCAGUCAAAAGUCCAAGGCAGCCAGCAGGGGGCGAUGUGCAUGAGAAAUCUAAACUCGUCUUUGCUUUUCGGGUUUUUACAAGCAACCACAAACACUCUUACACCUCUGUCAGUCACAGGCAGAUUUUGCUACCAAUCCUGCAGGAUUCAUUUAUAUUGGAAAAUAUUCCCUUUUUCAAAUCAUCAUUGCCCCCUCCCUGCCCUCAAUGGAUUUUAAACAUCCAUUGGAUUUUCUCUACACCUUAUUUUUAUCUUACGCUCAAUGCAAAGAUUUUUAUACAUAUGUCGUAAAUGUGGGUGUGAAUAUAUGCAUACUGUACAUACAUUUCACUUUAGACUUGGUAUUUAUUGCUCUGGAGUACAGAAAUCAAUCACAAACCAUGAUUUAAAAGUAGUUUGCUAGAAGCAAAAAUAACAAAGUCUUCAAUGCAAAAGCGCAAACGGCUUGAAAUACACUCAGCUGAUUUGUUUUUCUUAAACCCUGAAGCUGGCUGCACCACUUGUUGGUUUUGUUUUGCUUUGCUUUCCAAAUACCUGUGCACUUGUUGAAAUUUACAACGUUUUUUGGGAGGUUGCCUGGUAGCUUUAGCAACACACUACAAUGCUUUGCUGCUGCACUGACACAUUUAUGGCACUCAGCAAUGAACUGAUAGCCCUGCUCUAAUGUUGAACUUGUGUAACAGGUCCUUAACAAGCUGGGUUGUCUGCCAACAAAACACUUAGACUGGAGCCAGAGAAUUAUACAGAUCCUAGGUCAGUGUUUCGGUAGAGCUGAUAGUAAUUAGAUUAAAUUGCCAUCAUCUUACUAGCAAACACUGUUGAACACAUCCAAAUAUUAUAAAUGACAAUGAAUUGAGAUUGAUCUACUACCAUGGUUCUGCCUUUUGUGGCACAUAGCAACAUUUACAUUUAUAGUGUAAAUGAGUGUGAGUGUGUGCACUAUCGUAUGUUAUCAAAUGCCGGCAAAACUGGAGCUGCAUGUCUAGACUGACAAGGAUACACCAAAAUUCUAUGGCUCGCUUGGAUCAAAUAAUUUUUCAGUAUAACAAUAACCAAUGAUGCACAACACACAUAAAACAUUUUUAUAUGUGGUGCAGCUUGGGGGGUUCAGUAGGUAGCACUGAUGUUUACUGCCUCAAGCGUUGGGAGUUAAUAUCUUGCCUCCACUCACUAUUUGUUGAGUUUGCAUCUCUCCAUGUCAUGUGGGUGGCUAUGAGUAUCUGCAUUUAUGUGUGAUGCAAUGGACAGCCAUUUCAACCAGGAUGUAUCCCAACACCGUGUUCUGUACUGUGUGAACCCUCACAAUCCUGACCAGGAUAAAUGCUUGGAAGACUGAUGGAUGGAAGUUUGUGUGACACCGCAAGAAUGCAUUCACCCGCCCAAAGCCCUCGCUCACCGUGGCCUCACACACCCACUGCCUGUUCAGGACAGACCUGUUUGGGAACACCAACGGUUAUGCAACCUGCGCAUGGUGGGGAGGUGGCACGCUCAUCUUCUGCAUCAGCAAUUCCAAUCCUGUUAAAAGACUCGAUAUAUAUGGGCUUUUCAAUCAGCUCAAUCAUCUCGGAUGAAUGGAUCCAGCUAGACUAAUCUACUACACAGCUGCCUUUGAGAAACCAACUUAUCCCGGAUGAGUUUCACCGGCAUUAACUCAUCCAAGAUGAGGCAUCUGAACUCUGAUUUAAGCGACGUAUGAAAAAUACCCCCCUGGUCUCUGUAGAGGAGCACCCUCUCAGAUCCUUGUGCAAGAGGACACAAACCCCUGCCACACUGGGACCCAAACCCGGUGUCCUCUGGGGGCCUGAAGCCCCAGAGUAUUCAGGAGAGCCACUCCCAGUUGACAUCAACAAAUGGUACAUAACGCUAACCCCUACCACGCUGGUGACCUUCUCCAAAAUAAAAGAAUAGAAUAACAGAUUAUAAUACAUACAUAAAGUAAAAUAACUGAUUAUUUUAGGUUAUUAUAGCGAUAUGGAUAAGAUACGUUUUUAGCCUAGUUUUCAAAGUACCAAGACAUUCCGUAGCUCAGUUGACUAUUCUGUAUUUUGUACAUAUUUUUAAACAUUAUGUGUUUUUUUUUCCUAUGUUGUGUUUUGAUUGUACGACUUGUGUUGUUGGAAUAGAACCCUGGGAGUUGCUAUCCCAGUCUUGUUGUACUGUCAUGUACAAUGACAAUGAAGAAUUUAUUCUUGAAUCUUGAAUAAAUGACUGUAAAAAAUACAAAUAUUAUUAGCAACAAUGAACAUUUUUACUAAAUUUUAAAACAUUUCUUCUUCAUUUCUGUCCCCAGGAAAUAGUUUUCUGUGUGCCUUUUUUCUAACGAGGUCUACGUGCUGUCAUGUAACAUUUGGACAUAAGGCACUUCACAGCUAAGAAUAUCUAGAAGCUACAAUGGAUUUUGUUUAACUAACAUGACAGGCAGCUUUAUGAGCAAAACCUCUUCCUCAGACGCCCUUUCAAUACUGGUAUACAGGAUUCAGAGCAUCUACAUGACAAUAACACCCACGACAUACAUCUGACUCAACGGUCUUUAUGAACCUGAUGCAGAAAAAGAUGAGGGGAGGAGAAUUAAGCCCAGAUACCUCAGUCUACCCCCUCCCCCUUCAGCAUUUUGACUUUACCUAAAAUGAGGCUUCAUUUGCCAUUUACACAAGUAUGAAAACUGGAUGCGUUUUUUUUUUCUCCAUAUCGCACCUUGCACUCCUUUUUAAGACAUACACAUAGAGAUGAGAGCAAUGGUGGAGGUCUGAGCUCAGGGUCAGCCAUUCAUUCAGUGCCCUAGAAGAAUUUUUCAGGUGAUUAAGAACCUCGCUGAAGGAUCCAACAGAGAUGUGACUACUCUGCUGAUAACAGGAUUUGAACCGACAACCUUCCAAUCGCAGGCACUGAGGCGCACAUGCACCCCC
This is a long non-coding RNA of Brienomyrus brachyistius, 2990 nucleotides long. RefSeq lists it as uncharacterized. The transcript is spliced from 3 exons. The record is from RefSeq and is a predicted model, not a curated record. NCBI's taxonomy places the organism in Eukaryota, Metazoa, Chordata, Actinopteri, Osteoglossiformes, Mormyridae.